ACGGGUGAGUAAUACGUGAGUAACCUGCCCUUGACUCUGGGAUAAGCCUGGGAAACCGGGUCUAAUACUGGAUACGACCCCUUGUCGCAUGGUGGGGGGUGGAAAGGGUUUGACUGGUUUUGGAUGGGCUCACGGCCUAUCAGCUUGUUGGUGGGGUAAUGGCUCACCAAGGCGACGACGGGUAGCCGGCCUGAGAGGGUGACCGGCCACACUGGGACUGAGACACGGCCCAGACUCCUACGGGAGGCAGCAGUGGGGAAUAUUGCACAAUGGGCGGAAGCCUGAUGCAGCGACGCCGCGUGAGGGAUGACGGCCUUCGGGUUGUAAACCUCUUUCAGCAGGGAAGAAGCCACAAGUGACGGUACCUGCAGAAGAAGCGCCGGCUAACUACGUGCCAGCAGCCGCGGUAAUACGUAGGGCGCAAGCGUUGUCCGGAAUUAUUGGGCGUAAAGAGCUCGUAGGCGGUUUGUCGCGUCUGCUGUGAAAGCCCGGGGCUCAACCCCGGGUCUGCAGUGGGUACGGGCAGACUAGAGUGCAGUAGGGGAGACUGGAAUUCCUGGUGUAGCGGUGAAAUGCGCAGAUAUCAGGAGGAACACCGAUGGCGAAGGCAGGUCUCUGGGCUGUUACUGACGCUGAGGAGCGAAAGCAUGGGGAGCGAACAGGAUUAGAUACCCUGGUAGUCCAUGCCGUAAA
RNAcentral lists this ribosomal RNA (693 nucleotides) under Kocuria sediminis. RNAcentral's name for it is "bacterial SSU rRNA". It matches the Rfam family "Bacterial small subunit ribosomal RNA", at positions 102 to 806 of the family's 1533-position model. Lineage: Bacteria; Bacillati; Actinomycetota; Actinomycetes; Micrococcales; Micrococcaceae. The record is from RNAcentral.